Non-coding RNA from Pelobates cultripes (western spadefoot toad), 260 nucleotides. NCBI's taxonomy places the organism in Eukaryota, Metazoa, Chordata, Amphibia, Anura, Pelobatidae. The record is from the annotation of a GenBank genome assembly.
GCCAAACACUCCAGCUUUCUCCAGAAAGCUCUAUGUACUUAAUUUUUCCAGCACACACAAACAGGUUUCAGCCAACACACAAAUCACAUGACUGUGACGAUUCUAGGAUAGGCCCAAAGAUUUGUGUGACACGUCACUGUGACUUAGUGAUCUCUCCUGUGUACUCUGUAUGUGUCAUACAACAUGCCUGAGUAGGAGAGGAGGGGCAGAUAAAAGCAAACAAUGAAUAUGAUAUAUUUGUAUAUGGAUACAAAGUGUUU